Long non-coding RNA from Cyprinus carpio carpio, 2807 nucleotides. The record is from Ensembl. Lineage: Eukaryota; Metazoa; Chordata; Actinopteri; Cypriniformes; Cyprinidae.
UUAAUUGUACGCAGCAAUGCUGCAGUCGGUUUGGCAAUACAAAUGUAAAAAUAUAUUGCAGUAAUAAGAAACUGUCAAGAGACAUCAGGUAGUCCUAAUUAUUUUUAGUUUCAUUAUCGGGCAAUUCCAGCGUUACUGACGUGACAUUCACAGUCAAAACCUGAAAUAUAAAUUAUCCCAGAAUGUAUUCAUUACCAAUAUAUUGAACCAUCUCUUUAUGUUUUUCUAAAUCCCAAACAGAGUCCAGACACCAGAAAAGUAUCCGUCUAUGAAUGUGUUUUAUAGGCUAUUUUAGAUUUGGGAAAUACACAUGCAUUACGGACAUGACAAAAAAGACCUGAGUUUUUGGGAGACAACAUUUUGUAGACUUUCUUUGAUUUACAAUGCACAAAACAGAAGCAACAAUAUCUGCAGAAAUGAGAGGGGUUUACCAUUCUCAAAACAUAAAAUAUAAAUUUUUAUUCCAAUUUUUGUUUUUGUGUUUCGGAGGAAAAAUCAAUGUUAAGGCAUCUCUCCGUUACGGAUUGUUCUGAAAGCAGAAUUUAUACAAACGUGUAUAAAAUGCUUUAAAAACUUUAACAGAGAUGUCUAGAGGGUAUUCAAUAGGUCUGCCCCCACGUAAGAUUUUUGUAGUUAGUAGUAGUCGUUCAUUUAAGUCAUUAUUCAACUAAUCGCAGGUUUAUAUUAAAUUAACACAGUCUAAUCCAUAAUGAGCCUUAAUAUAUUCCACGCUCAAGCACACACAUUAAGUUUGCCACAAAGCACAGGCAGAAGUAGCCUUAUAAUUGUGAAAAAGGAGACAUUUUAUUUAUUUAUUAAUAAACUAAUGUUUUCUUGUCGUCUGCAAGAUGAGAUUCACAGUGCUAACUCUCAUCUCCACAGGAUGGGCAUAAUCAGGGAGUAUUUGCAUUUGUUUUGAAUUGGGUAAUUUCAAGCUUUCUGUAGACAUAUUUCUCAUGUAUGUAAGGCACCCCAGUUUUAAGUUAUUUCAUUAUCAGGAAAAAAGGGGAGAAAAAAAAUGAUUGUGAGGGCGCUUCCCUGUCAUGCAUGCGCAUCAAUAAUUUUCCACACAAACACUUCAAUAUGAAUAGUAAAAGCACAUUUCUUUUAGGUUACAGUAUGGGAUCCGCAUUAAAAAUAAAUCUUCACCUAAUAAAUCUUCACUUUAGUCUACAACCGAGACAGAUGCAGUUAUAACCUGUAAAUUAAAGGCUAUUUGACAUUUUAAAAUGAUGUAACAGCUGAUGCUGCUCCAAUUUGUUGAUUUUGAUUGUUUUAAUACAUCUAUUUUACAUUACCUGCUUUGUAUCUUUAUUAAAGUUAGAUAUUAUUGUACAAAUAAUUAUAAAAUGCUAUAGACUGCGAAUACGAUUGCAGUUUCACAGUUUGCAUAUGCAUUACAAAGUUAAUUAUUUUUUACGUGCAAUGAUACAAAAUAAAACCAAAAAAGAUUUGUAAUGAAGAAAAAAUAUGUAGACAAAUAAGAAUAAAUGUUGUGUGUCACACUCAUCUUCAUGCGCGCCACCCAAAUCUUGCACUCUGAUAUUUUAAGGAAUAGAAUACACUUCUGCAUUUAAAUGCGGCUGCAAUUUUUUUUUUUUAUUUACUUUAAUUGACAACUUCAGUGAUUUUAAAGGGUGCCUUCUUUACUUGCUUUCAUACAAUUUAUGAAGCUCUUUUUUACAUCGUGUGCACUUUGUUGAUUAUAAUGAGAGAACUUGAGUUUAAAUGUGAGGACAUUUUAUUAAUCCAUCAAUUCUUUUCAGUUUCAAUGAUUUAGCUAAAUCGUGGCCAGGUUUAAUUUAUUAGUUUCUUGUUUUAGUUUGGCCUAAAUAAUGGGAGCGAAAUUAUUCAGUGCAUAAUUUUUUACUAAAAUAAUGGAAAUAAUUUAUAAAACAGGCAAAAAAACAUUAUCAGUGUACAGACAGAUAUCUUUUCCCCAAGUAGUUAUCUGUCAAAAUAAAUGACAGGUAACAAAUUACAAAGUAUGUGUGUUUUAUUUGUUCUAAGAAAUGAACAUAACUUAAGGAGGCUACUAAAGUUUCAUCUGUGAAUAUUAAAUAUUUUAACUACAGUGUUUUUCUUUCAUUUUCCUCUGACUGCAGCCAUCAAAUGUAACAUCAGCAAGGCAAAUCUGACGGCUAUUUGCGAAAUGUGCUUUGAUGCGUUUGUUUGAUAACUUAUGGUUAAAGCGCCACUCAGCGGUCAAAAGCUGCAAAUGCACUUUGCAGAGGCCGCGGUAGAAAGCACACUCUGGUUGGCCACCUACUGUACCGGUUUGGUUAAGCGGAAGCAUGGCUUUCACUUACAUAACCUUACCGCAAAUGGAGUUCAGUUUGAGAAACUUAGGUUUUCAGCUCAAUCAUAAGAACUCUUUUUGUUUCUGUCUUUUCAUGUUCUUCCUUACUCUGAAUGCCUCAUCAAUGGACUGAGAAAUAACUUCAUCAAAACUCUGUGCUCAUCGUGGGACAAAUCAGCAUCAAAGAAUUGCAACGCACUCUAUGUUUUAAGGAAACUCGGAUUGUUGAUUAUUUAUGCUACUCUUGCUAUCGCACUAUUGGAUUUUUUCUUCUUCUAUCAUCAUUGAGGACUUCAGUAUUCAGAUUAAGUACAUGUUUCGUCUUAGAGACGAGUAUUCAUUCAACCAGAUAAGUUUUUUUUGUCCUUUUAUUUUGGUUGUUUUUGUAGUCAAAAAGACUUUAUUGGCUGUUUUUCAUGCACAUGCUGUAAUGAUCUGUGGAUUGCCUUUAUUUUAUAUAAACACUUUGUAAUGCACUACUGUGUUUUGUGUUGUUAUCCUCCCUCAG